This 253-nucleotide ribosomal RNA is filed under the name uncultured bacterium. RNAcentral describes it as "partial 16S ribosomal RNA". It matches the Rfam family "Bacterial small subunit ribosomal RNA", at positions 524 to 776 of the family's 1533-position model. The record is from RNAcentral.
UACAUGGGGUGCAAACGUUGCUCGGAAUUAUUGGGCGUAAAGCGCGCGUAGGCGGUUAUUUAAGUCGGAUGUGAAAGCCCUCGGCUUAACUGAGGAAGUGCAUCCGAAACUGAGUAGCUAGAGUACGAAAGAGGGUCGCGGAAUUCCCGGUGUAGAGGUGAAAUUCGUAGAUAUCGGGAGGAACACCGGUGGCGAAGGCGGCGACCUGGGUCGAGACUGACGCUGAGGCGCGAAAGCGUGGGGAGCAAACAGG